CCUUCGAUAGCUCAGUUGGUAGAGCGGGGGACUGUACAUCCCUAGGUCACUGGUUCAAAUCCGGUUCGAAAGA
This 73-nucleotide transfer RNA is filed under the name Dendronephthya gigantea. Its description in RNAcentral is "tRNA-Tyr". It matches the Rfam family "tRNA". Rfam says of the family: Transfer RNA (tRNA) molecules are approximately 80 nucleotides in length. Their secondary structure includes four short double-helical elements and three loops (D, anti-codon, and T loops). Lineage: Eukaryota; Metazoa; Cnidaria; Anthozoa; Malacalcyonacea; Nephtheidae. The record is from RNAcentral.